AACGUAGGAGGCGAGCGUUAUCCGGAUUCACUGGGCGUAAAGCGCGUGUAGGUGGUUCGUUAAGUCGAAUGUGAAAGCCUCUGGCUCAACUGGGGGAGGUCAUUCGAAACUGGCGGACUUGAGGGCAAGAGAGGAAGGUGGAAUUCCCGGUGUAGCGGUGGAAUGCGUAGAGAUCGGGAGGAACACCAGUGGCGAAGGCGGCCUUCUGGCUUGCCCCUGACACUGAUGCGCGAAAGCGUGGGGAG
RNAcentral lists this ribosomal RNA (245 nucleotides) under uncultured bacterium. RNAcentral describes it as "partial 16S ribosomal RNA". It matches the Rfam family "Bacterial small subunit ribosomal RNA", at positions 524 to 768 of the family's 1533-position model. The record is from RNAcentral.